UGCAAUCAUAGCUCACUGCACUCCAGCCUGGACAACAGAGCUGAACCAGCUCAAGAGAUCCUCUUAUCUCAGUCUUCCAACUAGCUAGGAUCACAGGUACACACCUCUGUGCUUCACUAUGUUUUAAAUUUUUAGUAGAGAAGGGGUCUCACUAUGUUGCCCAGGCUGGUCUCCAACUCCUAGGCUAAAGCGAUGCUCCCACCUCGGCCCCCCAAAGUGUUGGGA
RNAcentral lists this long non-coding RNA (225 nucleotides) under Homo sapiens (human). Its description in RNAcentral is "non-protein coding lnc-METTL16-9:1". The record is from RNAcentral. Lineage: Eukaryota; Metazoa; Chordata; Mammalia; Primates; Hominidae.